CGGCCGCGCAGGACGCCGCACGCAGUCCCGCCCGGCCCGGCCCGGCCCUGCCCUGCCCUGCCCCGCGCGGGCGGCGCGAUGUGAGGCUCCUGAGGGCCCAGGCGUCCCCUGGCUCGCCAGCUCCGCGCAGCGCCGGCGCCAGCAUGCGCUAGGAACGGCCGCGGACCGCGGUGGCGGAGUUCCCGCUGGCCGGACCUACUGGCUCGGCGGGCCGUGGGGGAGCCCAGCAGCCCGGAGCUCCCCGCCUGGGGUCCCCAGCUCUCAGCCCCGGGUGUCAGAAAGUGGGGACACACCGCGAGGAAGCUCCACCGUGCACAGCCUCGCC
This 325-nucleotide long non-coding RNA is filed under the name Ursus americanus (American black bear). Its description in RNAcentral is "lncRNA (ENSUAMG00000008450.1)". Lineage: Eukaryota; Metazoa; Chordata; Mammalia; Carnivora; Ursidae. The record is from RNAcentral.